Molecule: long non-coding RNA, 1232 nt
Filed under: Gossypium barbadense (sea-island cotton)
Lineage: Eukaryota; Viridiplantae; Streptophyta; Magnoliopsida; Malvales; Malvaceae
Description: long non-coding RNA (GBAR_LNC020839)
Source: RNAcentral
GCGAAUUCUACACAAUUACAUCCCUACUAGAGCUAAUCUUUUUACAAGAAGAGUGAUUGCGUCUCCCAGUUGCCUCAGAUGUAAUAGAGAGGUUGAAACUAAUGCAGAUGCAAUGAUGGGUUGUGAAUCUACAAAAAUCAUAUGGAAAGUUUGGGUUUUAAUGGCCUAAAUAUUGCUGAUGUAGAGGAAUUAUGGGAAUGGUUCGCACAGAGACUAAAAAAUGAUCAACCAAUUACCUGUAGGUCUAUUCUGAUCACUGCUUGGGCAAUUUGGUUUGGGCGUAACAAACAAGUGAUGGAAGGAAAAGUUCUCUCUAUCCACGAUAUCAACAUCAAAAUUAGGAGUUUGGCAAAGGAUUAGAUCAAAAAAAUAACCCUUUACCUGGUUCUCAGCAAGAUCCUCGAGCGAACUGGAAUCCCUUAAACGAGAAUUUUAUUAAACUGAAUUUUGAUGUUGCAUACAAAGGAAAUUCAAGAACCUCUUGUUCAGGAUUUGUAAUCGGGAAUUCAAAUGGUCAAAUCAUGGGUAGUGGUUUUAAACAAAACAGGAACAUAUCUUAUGCCUUCUCGGCUGAGGCUCUCUCAUGUUUGCAGGGUCCAACUUUCGCAAAUGAUAUGGGGUUUAGUCGUCUGAUCGUGGAGAGUGAUGCUUGUACCAUUAUCUCCAGAAUAGAACGAGAUAGAGAAGAUAGAUCGAAGAUCGGGCCCUACAUCAAAGACAUAAAAGUUCUAUCUCAAGCUUUUAGAUCUAUCAAGUUCUGCUUUACUCCUAGAACUGCGAACAAAGCUUCCCACAUUAUGGCUCAAGAGGGAUUCAAAGGAGAAGAGGACACCUACUGGGUUGAGGAAGCUCCUGACGCUGUUAUGGCAGCAGUGGAGGAAGAUAGACGAUGGAUUGACCCCCUUGAUAAUCUGUCAUUUGAUGUUGCUGAUCUAUGGCUAAUGUUGUGUUCUAUGGAAAGCCACAUUAUUCUAGUCGUUUGCUGCUAAGAUUGGAGGAGAUUUUAGUGGAAUAUUAAGAGCCGAAGUUGUGUUGAAGAAAGGAAACAAUAUAUUGAUUGUAGCGUUGGACUACUUUAUUUUCUUUUAAUAAAAGCUUCGGUCUUAUCCUUCAGAAAAAGAAAAAAAAGAAAAAGUAAUCAUCAUCUAGUGAUGCAUUAUCCAUGCGGGUAGAAUUUUAUUAACGGUUUUAACACUAAAUAUCAUAGUAAAAUAUAUAUAGAUAGUUCAAAU